UGUCUGAUCUCCCUAACCAGACACUUAUUGCCUCUUUGUCAUUCUUAAUCAGUUGUUACUUGGUAUAUACUUGUUAUUUUCAUGUAUGUCAUGUUAUGUCUAUGUCAUGUAAAUUAUCGCCCUUUAAUCCUGUGACUUGUAUGCCAUUAGAAAAUCACACAGAUUAAUUCAAGUACUAAACGCCAAAUACAGCACAAACAGGAGUUUGCAAAAAUCAGUUUAUGAAGAUCUGAAAUGAACGAAUGUGUUUACUGAGUAAGCUUUGUUAAGUUUGUCUACUAAAUGAACGUUGCAUGACCUGAGAUUUGUGUGGUGCUUGCAAUACUCAGAUUCUAGCUCUCGAUAUAUUUAAUAGCUUUUCUGAAUCUUGCAACCUCUGCUAUUGCAUCCGGUGGUCUUAUGCUCAUCUUGCCUAAAACUUACAACUACUCCAUAGCUGAUUUGCCGUCAUCUUCUUCUUAGCGAGGUUUUGUUCUUCCUUCAUGUUCUUGUGCAUCCAGUCUCACUGCUUAUUCUUCUUUGCCUAUGGCCUCCUAUAUCAGUUUGAUGGGGAGCAAUGCUAUACUGAUGAUCUCCUUUUUCUCUCAAAUAUAUAUAGCAUCCAGUGGAGACGUAGAUCUUGA
Syzygium oleosum is the source of this 623-nucleotide long non-coding RNA. RefSeq lists it as uncharacterized. The record is from RefSeq and is a predicted model, not a curated record. The transcript is spliced from 2 exons. NCBI's taxonomy places the organism in Eukaryota, Viridiplantae, Streptophyta, Magnoliopsida, Myrtales, Myrtaceae.